UUUGACCUCAAAUCAGGUAGGACUACCCGCUGAACUUAAGCAUAUCAAUAAGCGGAGGAAAAGAAACUAACAAGGAUUCCCCUAGUAACGGCGAGUGAAGAGGGAAAAGCUCAAAUUUGAAAUCUGGCGGUCUAAGGCUGUCCGAGUUGUAAUCUAGAGAAGUGUUUUCCGUGCUGGACCGUGUACAAGUCCUUUGGAACAAGGCGUCAUAGAGGGUGAGAAUCCCGUCUACGACACGGACUGCCAGUGCUCUGUGAUACACUCUCAACGAGUCGAGUUGUUUGGGAAUGCAGCUCAAAAUGGGUGGUAAAUUCCAUCUAAAGCUAAAUACAGGCGAAAGACCGAUAGCGAACAAGUACCGUGAGGGAAAGAUGAAAAGCACUUUGGAAAGAGAGUUAAACAGUACGUGAAAUUGUUGAAAGGGAAACGCUUGAAGUCAGUCGCGUCUUCAGAAAUUCAGCUUGGCUUUUGCCUGGUGCACUUUUCUGUUGGACGGGCCAGCAUCGGUUUUGGCCGCCAGAAAAAGGUGGGAGGAAUGUGGCACCUCCGGGUGUGUUAUAGCCUCCCGUCGUAUAUGGCGGCUGGGACUGAGGACCGCAGCACGCCUUAAUGGCCGGGGUUCGCCCACGUAACGUGCUUAGGAUGCUGGCGUAAUGGCUUUAAGCGACCCGUCUUGAAACACGGACCAAGGAGUCUAACAUGCCUGCGAGUAUUUGGGUGGUAAACCCAUAUGCGGAAUGAAAGUGAACAGUUGGGACUUCUGUCAUGGAAGGCACCGACGCCCGGACCAGACCUAUUGUGACGGAUCCGAGGUAGAGCAUGUAUGUUGGGACCCGAAAGAUGGUGAACUAUGCCUGAGUAGGGUGAAGCCAGAGGAAACUCUGGUGGAGGCUCGUAGCGAUUCUGACGUGCAAAUCGAUCGUCGAACUUGGGUAUAGGGGCGAAA
RNAcentral lists this ribosomal RNA (946 nucleotides) under Geastrum cf. calceum MA-Fungi 83761. RNAcentral describes it as "eukaryotic LSU rRNA". It matches the Rfam family "Eukaryotic large subunit ribosomal RNA", at positions 1 to 928 of the family's 3401-position model. The record is from RNAcentral. Lineage: Eukaryota; Fungi; Basidiomycota; Agaricomycetes; Geastrales; Geastraceae.